UCUGAAUCUGCGUACGGCUCCGCAAACCAGUUGUAAACUAUAGCAAGCAGGCUCGGGGUCGGCCUUCACGGGCUGGCCUCGGGCGAUAUGGAUAACCCUGGUAAUUCUGAGGCUAAUACAUGAACGUAGAACCCGGUUGACUAGGCCUCACGGCUAGGGAUGCUGGGGGAUGUGCGAUUGCAGGCUUGGGUAACUCCGGGAAAGGGCGCACGUCCAGACCGCGCUAUAAAGGAUGGGCUUCUCACGAGGCCUGCCCCAGCGGCUCUUGCUGUGUGCUUCUGACCUAUCAACUAGACGGCAGCGUAAGGGACAUG
This 314-nucleotide ribosomal RNA is filed under the name Lamproderma ovoideum. RNAcentral describes it as "bacterial SSU rRNA". It matches the Rfam family "Eukaryotic small subunit ribosomal RNA", at positions 80 to 343 of the family's 1831-position model. The record is from RNAcentral. Lineage: Eukaryota; Evosea; Eumycetozoa; Stemonitida; Stemonitidae.